UGAACUGGAACAUGCAACAAGAAAAAAAAAAUAGUGAACACAUACAAAAUAUAGCUAAAAUGCUAAUUGCUAGUAAAGCCAAAAGCUACAAAUUGGGUUCCAAUUUACCUGCCUGUUAUGGAUUGAAUUGUGUCCCCCACCCCGCCCCACAAAAUGUGUGGGAAUCCUAACCCCUGUACCUCUGGAUGUAACCCCAUUUGGGAAUAGGGUUCUCUGUGUUAUAUGAAUGAGGCCACAUCAGUUGUAGGGUGUGCCCUAAAUCUCAUCACUCCUGAGGUAUAAAAAGAGCAGAUCAAACACAGAACCAAGUACAAACGGAAGAAGACUGAUGCCACGUGAGGGUGACCAAGAACCAAGGAAGGCCCUGGGCUACAGACAAGGAAGGAAUCGACAGAGACUCUGAUUUGGACUAGCCUCCAGAACUUUAAGAAAACAAAUUACUGUUCUUUAAAGCUACCCACUUGUGGUAUUUGUGUUACAGCAACACUCACAAACUGAGACACUAUACUCAAGCAUUUUGAGUUCAAUGUGACAUGACUCAGCAUGAAAACUGAAUACCUUCAUGAACCACAUUGCCUCCCUCCCUCUCCAUUCCCAGAUACUCACUGAGAAAGUGAAAGGUGGGAAGCUACAUUUAACCAUGAUUUCUCUUAAAGGUCCCAGAGAAUUAAUCAUAUACUGUCAUAAAACAGGAAGUACAAGGGAUCGUAUUUUUUUUAUGUUUACUACUACAACCUAAGUAUCUGUGAGGAACACUCAAUCACAGAGUUUAGAAAAAACUUAUAAUAAAUACAAAAGAAAUACAAUUGGGGUAACAGCCAUAUCCCUGGACUGCGAAAUUAUGUGAAUAGUUAAACAUUGCAUUUUCCUUUACCGGGCACUUUUCUCAGUGAAAUGUUCACCAACAUUAACAAUUUCAAAGCAAUUGACUUUGCAGCUUGUUAAACUUUAGCAAUGUUUUUACUGGGGUAGAAAGUCGACGCCAGUGGCCAAAAUUAACAUGCAGGAAUGAGCCUCCCAUGUUCAAUCACCUCUGUGUUCUCGGGGAAUUUAGAAUUGGCUUCUUCCUCAAUGAUUGCCAAUGUAAGAAACACACUCUGUGGGGUUGCUCUCUUUAAACAUUUCUUAGCUGUUUAAAAUUUUCCUCUGUGUCACCAGUCAAUUUCAGAUUGCCAGCUAUCUGCAAAAUGGAAAUUCACAGUAUGACUUUUGCUUCUCACUCAGUAAGCAAAAUUAACACUUUUAUGCUUCCUUCCUAGAAAAGUGGCAAAGGAGGACAAAAGCCACAGGAGAGAGACUUUCCCCAAAACAUCCACUACCUUGCAGCAUCACUGCUUUGCAACUUAAUGUUACAUUUGACCUCACAUUUUUAUUGGCCGUCAACCUGGAGGAUGCCUGCAGACUGUUCAGCAGCAUAAAUCAAGCUGCUUCCUUUUCAGGGUUAUGGGUGGAAGCCACAAGGCAACAGCUCAUAGAGGAAUACAAAAGCAGUUAAACAGUCUUCCAUGCUCUUCAAAGACUCAGACUAUACCUUGGGCCUCUCCAAAAUUUAAGAAUAACACCUCCUCAGGGGUUCAUGUCAAUAAAACAGCCAAACCAACCUGCUGCUUUUCCACACCCCAGGCUCCAAAUCUUCAUCCUGUCACAGUAGUAAAGGAGCACCAGACUCAAAGCACAGUUAGCAUCUCUGAGGAGCAGCAGUCCUCGAGUUCAAUCUUCCCCAUUUGAACUCCAGCAUCACCAACAAAAGGGCCUAGACACAGCAAUCAGUCUGGUGCCCAUCCACAGCCUUGGGCAGCCCCUUCGUAACUUCUGAGGCCCUUCCACAGACCCAGGACAUUUUGUGAAGCAUGAGACGAUAUACAAAUAUCUAUUUUCCUAAGAGCUAUCUGGGAUGCUCACUUGCCCUGCAUGACACCUAACUGACAUGAAACUUAGGACUUCAGGAGACUCAGGGCUUCUCUCAUGAACUGUGGUCAGGACGGAUGUGUUCACGGGCAUCUGCUUCCUCUCCUCCAAGUGAAUGGCAACAGCACAAAGAAUCCACACGUUCUGUGCUUAAAGAGCACCACGAAGCCUGACCUCCUCAGGAAAGGCAAGCAGCCCAAUCAUACGUCUGAGAAGCUCAGUCUUGGCCUCAGAGGUCAUGGACUGGUUUAGUCUUCAGCUUAAAAAUAAUCAACCAAGAACCGACAUAAAUAUGCUCAACCAAAAGCAGGAGUUGGCAAACUCCUUCUGUAAAGGGCCAGAUGGCAAAUAUUUUCGAUUUGUAGGCCACAUAGUCCCUGUGGCAACCACUCAACUCUGCCACUAUAAGGUGAACACCAAACCAAAAACCCAAACCCACUGCCGCAGAGUUCAUUCUGACCCAUAGUGACCUUAUGGGACAGAGAAGAACUAUCCCAUAGGACUUCCAACGAGUGGCAGGUAGAUUCGAACUGCUGACCUUUUGGUUAGCAGCCAAGCUCUUAACCACUAUGCCACCAGGGUUCCAAGGUGAACACAGCCACAGAUAACACUUAAAGGAACGAGUGGGGCUGUGUCCCAAUAAACUUUAUUUACAAAAACGGGCAGCAGGUAGGAUGUGGCCCCUUGGCCACAGUUUGCCAACUCCUGUUCAAGAGCAUAAAAAACAAAGACGCAUACUUUUAUUUUUGUGUUUAAAUAAGUUCCUAGAAUACACAGACCUGUUCUAGAAAGGGAGGUUGUUUCCCCAGUUAUUGAUAACAGGCAGAGACUUUAAAAGCAAGAAAAGGACACAAAACAUUGAGUAGGAAUUAGAUACUAAUUACGACUUGGAUUCAAGAUGAAAGAAAUACAAAAACACGAGCUAUGUGCAAAUUUAUCAAGUUGUUAGAAUCUUUGGGAUUAUUUGUAUUAAUUACUGCUUUAUUGCCACUAAAGGAAAUUAAAAUUAAUGCUUUUUAAGAAAAAUAUUAAAUUUAAUUAUGGAGCUAUUACUAUCCCGCUAAGGUUCCUUCUUAACCAUCUUUCUUGCUGGGGAUUGUAUUAGCCAUGAUCGUAUCCAGGCUACCUGUUCAAAGAUAGGUUUUCUCAGCAGCAAGAUGCAAUGAACCAGCACACAAUUAAGCCACCUGGCUUCCUGGAGGAGGACUCCUCAAGAGCUUUCAUAAUUAGCUGUGCUUCUGGUGACGACAUGGGGGGUGGGCAAGGAGAUGCAGAGAUGGUCUGUUGUAUAACCAAGUGGAAAAGUGGGGUCAUUUUUUGUUUCAGUAACAACAACAACAACAAAAUCUGGCUGGACUCUGGCUAAACAACCUCAGGCCCAGUGCUGGCUGUUGUCUUGAAUAUGGAUGAACUGCCCAAGACCAAAGCUUCCAUUUUUACUCUAGAGAAAGGAGUGUGGAGGCCUAUAGAAGCUGGUGAAUCUCUGAACUCCUAAUGCAUGCCUAUCGAACUUAGGUCAUACUUGGAGACAGGUCAUUUGGAAAAUGAGCUUAAUACUUCCUCGGCUCACUCCAUUUGUAAGUACAAACCACCAAAUCACCUUUAGAAGCUGGGUAACUAGAAUGAGAAGCCCUCUACACACCAAGACUCUUUGAUAUCCUCCCACUGGGGUGGCUGUGUUACAGAGGAACUAAAUCUUCACCCUGAACUUGUCUUAAGAACAAGAGAGGCACCCACAAUGGUAGUCCCAUACUGUUAUGGAUUGAAUUGUGUCCCCCCAAAAAUAUGUGUUGUAAAUUCUAACCCCUAUACUUGUAGAUGCAAUCCAUUUGGGAACAGGGUUUUCUUUGUUAUGUUAAUGAGGCCAUUUCAGUGUAGGGUGUGUUUUAAGCCAAUCACUUUUGAGAUAUAAAGAGCAGAUCAUGCUCAGAGAAACAGGAAGCACAGACGGGGAAAAGAGAUGUUAGGCCACAUGAAGAUGGCCAAGAAACCCAGGAACAGAAGCUAAAAAGAGACAAGGGCCUUCCCACAGAGAUGGCAGCGGGUCUUCCCCUUGAGUCAGUGCCCUAAAUUCCGACUUUCAGUCUCCUAAACUGUGAGAAAAUAAAUUUCUGUUUGUUAAAGCCACCUACUCGUGGUAUUUCUGUUACAGCAGCACUAAGAAACUAAGACACGUACCUUCAAU
Molecule: long non-coding RNA, 4093 nt
Organism: Loxodonta africana (African savanna elephant)
Lineage: Eukaryota; Metazoa; Chordata; Mammalia; Proboscidea; Elephantidae
Exons: 3
Source: RefSeq, a predicted model, not a curated record